RNAcentral lists this transfer RNA (77 nucleotides) under Sphaerodactylus townsendi. RNAcentral describes it as "tRNA-Ala". Lineage: Eukaryota; Metazoa; Chordata; Lepidosauria; Squamata; Sphaerodactylidae. The record is from RNAcentral.
GGUGAAGGGCUGUGGCUCAAUGAAACAGCCUUCGCUUUGCAUGCGGAAGGUCCCAGGUUCAAUCCCCAGCCCCUCCA